AACGAACGCUGGCGGCAUGCCUAACACAUGCAAGUCGAACGAAGGCUUCGGCCUUAGUGGCGCACGGGUGCGUAACGCGUGGGAAUCUGCCCUUUGGUUCGGAAUAACAGCUGGAAACGGCUGCUAAUACCGGAUGAUGACGAAAGUCCAAAGAUUUAUCGCCAGAGGAUGAGCCCGCGUUGGAUUAGGUAGUUGGUGGGGUAAAGGCCUACCAAGCCGACGAUCCAUAGCUGGUCUGAGAGGAUGAUCAGCCACACUGGGACUGAGACACGGCCCAGACUCCUACGGGAGGCAGCAGUGGGGAAUAGUGGACAAUGGGCGCAAGCCUGAUCCAGCAAUGCCGCGUGAGUGAUGAAGGCCCUAGGGUUGUAAAGCUCUUUUACCCGGGAAGAUAAUGACUGUACCGGGAGAAUAAGCCCCGGCUAACUCCGUG
This 433-nucleotide ribosomal RNA is filed under the name uncultured bacterium. RNAcentral's name for it is "partial 16S ribosomal RNA". It matches the Rfam family "Bacterial small subunit ribosomal RNA", at positions 29 to 507 of the family's 1533-position model. The record is from RNAcentral.